This is a non-coding RNA of Pelobates cultripes (western spadefoot toad), 209 nucleotides long. Lineage: Eukaryota; Metazoa; Chordata; Amphibia; Anura; Pelobatidae. The record is from the annotation of a GenBank genome assembly.
CAUAUUCUGAGACUUUGGCGGUUUGUUAAGUACUGUGUGCUGAUUUUUAGCUAUUCCGUGCCUGGCUUAACUUGUAUACUUGUAUACAUCAUGUAUGCUCACUGUAUAGAUUACGUAUGAAGUCAAGCAGAAAAUGUAUCAAUGUCUUCCUUUAAACUUGAGCCUUCUUACUUUUUUAUUGCAGUUUGUCAAAACAUGCACUAUCACCA